GCCCCGCGCUCCAGCGGGCCGAGCGCGUGCGGCCGCCGAGCACAUGGGCCCGCGGGCCGGGCGGACUCCGGGCGGCCGGGACCCGGAGUAUCAGCGAGGGGCCGCGAGCGAGGGUGGGCCCCGGUACGCGCCCGGAACCCCCUGAGUGGAUUUCCACGCGGAAAGGCUGUUGGCGGCCCCGGUGACCUGCGGAGACACGGCUGAAUCCACCUUCCAGCUUGAUCUUUUGACCAGAACGGAAUUAAAAAGAUGGUCCCUCGUGAUGGCCGCGCCUGUCAGCUGCGUGGAGCUUCCCUGAAGGCUUUUCUGAGCCGUGUGGAUGUACAGUGAUUCUCGGCUGCCUGAGGAAUAACGCUGGUGGAAGCCCUCUCUCCAAUGACACACACCCGCCCCGUUUCUGGAUGCUAAAGGUGGUUUUGGGAAGACCCUGGCUGAGUGCCUCGCGGAUUCCUGCAGCCCGGAUGCCCCUGGUGGACGAGGACCGAAGCUUCCUGCCUUUGCUGCCGACAGGAAUGUUCGGUUGGGGCUCUGCCAGCUCCCUUGGGGGCUCCCUAUGAAACCAUCCUGCUCCACCUGGGAUUUAGGUGCCUUUAAUCUGACAAAAAAAGAAUACGUAUCCAUUCAGUACUCCAGAGGGACUUGAAAACUGUUCUUCCCUGAACUCAAGCUGGACUAUCAUGGGAUGUGAAGAAUCGAGGCCGGGCUGAGGUUUCAGAGGAGUUCCGAGCUCCUGUGGAGAUUUGCUUCUCUCCAGCCUUGGGCUCUCUGCACUCUUGAACAUCUCAGGGCCCAGAAGAAAAAGAAGAAAGCCAGCCAGUUCUGGGAGCAGCCUGGGUGAAGAGAGAUGAGGAAACUGCUACUCAGAGACGUUAAACAACUUGGCAGAUGUUGCACAGCUAGUAAGUGACAAAGGUGAAAGUCCAAGUGUGAAGGUCAUUUCUUGUCACUGUGGUCCCCCACGAGCCCAUGGACGAGUGUGGUCCUCCUGGAAUGGGAGGGGUCUGCUCUUAAUGAACAGGUUUGGAUGGAGGAAGAAAGGAAGAGUGGGGAGCUGGGCACAAAAGGCUUAGCCCAUGGUGCCUUUUUGUGAGUUUUGCCACAUUUCAGAUGGAGUUCUCAGGAAGAGGUGAGAACACACAGAGACACAGAAUAGAUGAAGAUGGAAACAGAGAUUGGAGUGGUGCACCUAUAAAGACAAGGAAGGGAAGGAUUGCCAGGAGCCACCAGAACUUGGAAGAGGCAAGGACGGGUCCUCCACUAGACCCUUCAAAGGGAGCAGAGCCCUGCCAACACCUUGACUGCAAACUUCUGGACUGCAGACUGUGAUGUCAGCUUUCCCAGUGCAGUGACUGCCACAUGUUGUUGGGAUUUUGGUCCAAGCCACAGAAGAAGACAGUGAAGCUAAGUGAUGCAGGAAGUAAACUCAUGACCUUAGAUUCGGGAAACUGGUGCACCAACCACUGAGAAACCAGAGAUGGAGGAUUUUUGCACAAGCAUGAGCAGAGUAUAAAUCAACAUCUCUGCCUUCAACAAAAUCCGCAUCAUCGCUCAUUUGGGGAGAAGCAAACUGCGUACUGUGAGCAGACCUAUCGAGAAAUCCCUGUGGUUAAGUGACUGGUGACUCUGAUCCACAGCCAGCAAAGGCCUGAGGCCUGCCAAUAGCCAGAUGGCUUUAUCGAGAUGCAAUUGACAUAAAACAUUGUGUAAGUUUAAGGUGCACAACGCGAUGACUCACUCUGUGUAUAUUGUGAAGUGAUUACUACAAUAAGAUUACCUCAAAUCGUUACCUUUUUUGGUGUGCGUGGUGAGAACUUUCAAGAUCUACUCUCUUCCAGCUUCCAAAAAGUAGAAUCAUGAUCAAGAAGAAUAGAAGGUGGAAGAGGAACAGAGGGAGAAAAAAAGUUCAUCAUUUGAACCCUUCGUUUGUUUAGGUCUAACAUCUAUUCUCUUGGCAUCCCAUACCUGACGAGAAUUUAUGGCUAGUUGGAUGUAACAGCCAAAGCUCUCUCCCUGUGACUUAUAUGCAUCCUGAUGUAUUUCAAUUUUUGCAUACAGGAAGGUUUUCUGGUUGGAGGAGAUGCAAUUCUAUUUCGAGGUUGUGGACUCAAGGUGCCACUAAACAGAGAUUCAUGUGCUUUCAUUGACGUAAAGUGAAUCCUUCAUUUGUGGACAGCUUUGCUGCCCAAACCCAAUCUGUUACUGCAGCCAAUGGGCUUAUCUGAAGCAUCUGUGGAAAGAGAGCAGGGGAGCCAAGAGACCUGGAUCGUGAUUCUGCUAAUCCCAGGGGGUAACCUUGAGUAUGGCCAGAACACUUUUGGUCGUGGCUGGUGAUUCCUCUCCAGUGGCUUGUGACACUGCUUCAGGAAGACUUUCCCAACACCUGAAGAAUUUCUAUGUUCCUUUUCCCAGUCUGGGAUGUCUACUUACCAUAUUGCCAGCUUCUGGACCUGUUGUGUCUGGGAUGCAGGCUGAA
This is a long non-coding RNA of Globicephala melas (long-finned pilot whale), 2473 nucleotides long. RefSeq lists it as uncharacterized. The record is from RefSeq and is a predicted model, not a curated record. NCBI's taxonomy places the organism in Eukaryota, Metazoa, Chordata, Mammalia, Artiodactyla, Delphinidae.